GAACCGCGUGAAGGAUCAUUAUUGAGAGGGGUCCUUAGGACCCCGGGGGCUUCGGCCCCUAACUCUUCACCCGGUGUCUACCUACCUUUGUUGCUUUGGCGGGCCUUGGGGUUCGCCCCAUCCCGGCCACGGGCCUCGCAGCCCGGGCCAGGCCGUGCCCGUCAGGGGUCCAUCAAACUCUGUUUACCAGUGCUGUCCGAGCGAAAACCACAAUAGUAAAAACUUUCAACAACGGAUCUCUUGGUUCUGGCAUCGAUGAAGAACGCAGCGAAAUGCGAUAAGUAAUGUGAAUUGCAGAAUUCAGUGAAUCAUCGAAUCUUUGAACGCACAUUGCGCCCCUCGGUAUUCCGGGGGGCAUGCCUGUUCGAGCGUCAUUGCACCCCUCAAGCUCCGCUUGGUAUUAGGCCGACGCCCCCGCGGCGGGCCGGAAAUCCAGUGGCGGUCCGGCGUAACUUCGAGCGUAGUAAAGUUCCUUUCGCUUUGGAAGCUCACGCUGCGGCCGGCCAGAACGCCCCCAGUUAUCAUCAUCAAUUGACCUCGGAUCAGGUAGGGAUACCCGCUGAACUUAA
Molecule: ribosomal RNA, 569 nt
Filed under: Rhizoplaca chrysoleuca
Lineage: Eukaryota; Fungi; Ascomycota; Lecanoromycetes; Lecanorales; Lecanoraceae
Description: eukaryotic LSU rRNA
Rfam family: 5.8S ribosomal RNA (bases 221-374)
Source: RNAcentral